Molecule: ribosomal RNA, 491 nt
Filed under: uncultured bacterium
Lineage: Bacteria
Description: bacterial SSU rRNA
Rfam family: Bacterial small subunit ribosomal RNA
Source: RNAcentral
GAUGAACGCUAGCGGCAGGCCUAACACAUGCAAGUCGAGGGGCAGCAUAUAAAUAGCUUGCUAUUUAUGAUGGCGACCGGCGCACGGGUGCGUAACGCGUAUGCAACCUACCAUUAACAGGGGGAUAAUUCGGAGAAAUCUGGUCUAAUACCCCAUAUUAUAUAUUAAGGCAUCUUAUUAUAUUGAAAGUUCCGGCGGUUAAUGAUGGGCAUGCGUUGUAUUAGUUAGUUGGUGAGGUAAUGGCUCACCAAGGCUACGAUACAUAGGGGGACUGGUAGGGUAACCCCCCACACUGGUACUGGGACACGGACCAGACUCCUACGGGAGGCAGCAGUGGGGAAGAUUGCACAAUGGGGGAAACCCUGAUGCAGCAACGCCGCGUGAAGGAAGAAGGUUCUUGGGUCGUGAACUUCUAUCAACGGGGAAGAAAAGAAUGACGGUACCCGAGUAAGAAGCCCCGGCUAACUGCGUGCCAGCCGCCGCGGUAACAC